UACGGGGGGAGCAAGCGUUGUUCGGAUUUACUGGGCGUAAAGGGCGCGUAGGCGGCCACCGCAAGUCGACUGUGAAAUCUCCGGGCUUAACCCGGAAAGGUCAGCCGAUACUGCGGGGCUAGAGUGCAGAAGGGGCAACUGGAAUUCUCGGUGUAGCGGUGAAAUGCGUAGAUAUCGAGAGGAACACCUGCGGCGAAAGCGGCUUCCUGGUCCGACACCGACGUUCAGGCACGAAAGCGUGGGGAGCAAACAGG
RNAcentral lists this ribosomal RNA (254 nucleotides) under uncultured bacterium. Its description in RNAcentral is "partial 16S ribosomal RNA". It matches the Rfam family "Bacterial small subunit ribosomal RNA", at positions 524 to 776 of the family's 1533-position model. The record is from RNAcentral.